CGGUCAUAUUCCGUUGAAACAACUGUUCUCAUACGAUCAGCGAAGUUAAGCAAAGUCGAGUCUAGUCAUUAUUUCGAUAGGUGACCGCUUGGAAAUGCCAGGUGCUGUAAG
This is a non-coding RNA of Acanthosepion pharaonis, 111 nucleotides long. NCBI's taxonomy places the organism in Eukaryota, Metazoa, Mollusca, Cephalopoda, Sepiida, Sepiidae. The record is from the annotation of a GenBank genome assembly.